Amphiprion ocellaris (clown anemonefish) is the source of this 4963-nucleotide long non-coding RNA. RefSeq lists it as uncharacterized. Lineage: Eukaryota; Metazoa; Chordata; Actinopteri; Pomacentridae. The record is from RefSeq and is a predicted model, not a curated record. The transcript has 2 exons.
AUAUAUAUAUAUAUAUAUAUAUAUAUAUAUAUAUAUAUAUAUAUAAAUAAAAAAUAAAUAAUUAUAGAUAUGUAUUAUAGUAUUUAUUGUACAGUUGCAAUGUAUUGUUAACUGCUUUGUCACUUCGACCAAAUGCAUUUUGAGCUUCUGAAAGAAAAUCUGAUCUGAUGUGCAUAUGAAGUCUGUAACUGUAUCGUUGGUAUGAAGGAUUCAUAUCAUCAAAGCUACUCUAAAUUUAUUCAGGUGUGUAACAUGAGCAUAAAUGGAAUCAUAACUGUGAACUGUCUAGAACAUUGUCUGAGUCACAGACAAUUGUGCACAUUUCGAAACUAUUUAACAAAUGUCAUCAGUGAAUAAAUGUUCUUUUAUCCAAAUAUGGGAGCGAUUUUAUUAAAAGCUGUUGAAAAGUAUUUUUCGGCUAGGGUCCAGUUUUUGUUUUUUUGUUUGUUUUAUUUGAGAAAAAGAAAAGCAUAUACACUACAUAAAGAAACAGUGUUUGCUUCUUUGUUGAUUCUGUCAGAUGGAAAACUACAAAUUGAAACUUGCACAUUUUUAUUGAUUUCAUAAGACUUAAGCAUGAAAAGAAAAGAUUAAAUAGAUCAAGUGCAGACUUCCAAUGGAGCCAUUUUUAUUAUCAUAAACUAUAGAUAUGUAUUAAGAUAUCUAUGAAAUUUUAGCCUGAUAUUUUCCAAAGAUAAUUAAAAAACAAACAAACAAUACAUUGAAAUUUGAAUCCAUGUUUAAAUGACAGUGUUGCACUAUUAAAAAUAAAAUCCUGAAAUAAUUACUCUUAUUUCUCAUCCUGACAUUUAGAAUCUGCAAUACCGGAAAAGCAGAUCAAAUAUUGUCUGAUUACGGAGUGAAAGCGGCAGUUCCUCCUUAAGGUCAGAGAUUGCAGCAUCUGAGGGCCUCUUCAAAAGAAGACGUAGUUGAUGAAGGCGUUCUGGAGCAGGACCAGAAAGACCACGACCAAGCAGCCAUGAGAUCUUAGGCAGCGUCUCCCUCGGGUGGGUGUCAACAGUGUUCACGGUCAGGUCUGUGGUAAUCCCGUCAAAAAACAAACAGAAAAAAAAUCUAGAUUAUAAAUCAACAUGUAACCAAAGCACUCUGUGUAUAACGCCAUAGUGUAGGAUGUAGUUCAGAAAAUGUCAAAGUAUAGUAUACUUUUGAAGAAUAACAUAGUAUGGCCUGUAGUUCAUAGUAUAGCAUGUUGGCAAAAAACCCAACUGAUUAUUAUGUGGUUCAAAAAGUGCAAAAUGAUAGGAUGUUGCCUAAAAUUGUCAUGUAUGAUAUGUGGUUCAAAAAAUGUCAUAAUAUAGCAUGUCGCCCAAAAAACCUCAUAGUAUAGCAUGUCGCUCUUGAAACAUCAUAAUAUAGCAUGUCAAUCUAAAGACGUCAUAGUAUAGCAUGUCGCUCUAAAAAUGUCAUAGUAUAGCAUGUCGCUCUAAAAACGUCAUAGUAUAGCCUUUGGUCCAAAAAACGUCAUAAUAUAGCAUGUAGUCCAAAGAACAUCAUAGUAUAGCAUGUCGCUCUUAAAACGUCAUAGUAUAGCAUGUUGCUCUAAAAACGUCAUAGUAUAGCAUGUCGCUCUAAAAACGUCAUAGUAUAGCAUGUCGCUCUAAAAACGUCAUAGUAUAGCAUGUCGCCCAAAAAACGUCAUAGUAUAGCACGUCAUCCAAAAAACAUCAUCAUAUAACAUGUCGCUCUUGAAACGUCAUACUAUAGCAUGUCACUCUAAAAAUGUCAUAGUAUAGCAUGCGGCUCAAAAACGUCAUAGUUUAGCAUGUCGCCCAAAAAACGUCAUAGUAUAGCAUGUCACUCUAAAAACGUCGUAGUAUAGCAUGUCACUCUAAAAAUGUCGUAGUAUAGCAUGUCGCUCUAAAAACGUCAUCGUAUAGCAUGUCACUCUAAAAACGUCAUAGUAUAGCAUGUGGCUCAAAAAACGUCAUAGUUUAGCAUGUCGCCCAAAAAAACGUCAUAGUAUAGCAUGUCACUCUAAAAACGUCGUAGUAUAGCAUGUCGCUCUAAAAACGUCAUCGUAUAGCAUGUGGCUCAAUAAACGUCAUAGUGUAGCAUGUCGCUCUUGAAACGUCACAGUAUAGCAUGUCACUCUAAAAACGUCAUACUACAGCAUGUUGCUCUAAAAACGUCAUAGUAUAGCAUGUCGCUCUUGAAACGUCACAGUAUAGCAUGUCACUCUAAAAAGUCAUAGUACAGCAUGUUGCUCUAAAAACGUCAUAGUAUAGCAUGUCGUCCAAAAAACGUCAUCGUAUAGCAUGUCGCUCUUGAAAUGUCAUAGUGUAGCAUGUCGCCCAAUAAAUGUCAUAGUGUAGCAUGUCACUCUAAAAACGUCAUAGUAUAGCAUGUCGUUCAACAAACGUCAUAGUAUAGCAUGUCGCUCACAAAACGUCAUAGUAUAGCCUUUAGUCCACAAAACGUUUUUAUGUCCCGGCUGUCUGAAGUAGGUGAGGAGCAACACCAAAACAGUCCAAACGCUGGUUUUCAGAGGGUUAGACGAGUAUUUAUUUGAAAGAGUAAGUUUACAACAACACAACGUGAGGGGGUUAAAAGCAAAUGGGUGUUAGUAAAAUAAAAAUAAAUAAACAGAACUAAAAGUGAACUUCACGUUGACAUUGAUAGGCAUUCCAACCAGGAACCAAGUAAAAGAUAAUCAAUACGAAAAAAACUCUUCCUGUUCACCUCUUAAAACCCAAAAACACACCGCAGUAGCACCCUAAACUAAAACUACCAAUGGGUUCCCUGUUUUCCUUUCUGAACAAUUCAAAUGUCCCUCUCUAUCUCCCCACACAUCCACCAACCACUGGAACACAUCUCCAAAGUUCUGCCGGGCCAGCUCAGCUUCCCCUCAGAAGAAGUGCCGCCACCUGCCAGAUGAAGGAGCCUUUUGAGAGGCAGCUGGCAUCGUGAUUGGACUGUACUUUGGUCUGUUCCAAUCCAGCUUCAGCUCCAGAGACGGCAGGCGGGACGAGUCAACGGAGGCCGGGUGGACGAAGGCACGCAGCUGAGUUGAAAAAAAAUGUCAUUUUUCAACAUGUUGUAAAAAUGUGCCAUAUGAUGAAAUAAUGUAAAGGAGGCCGUGAAAAACACUCCAGAAAGGUUUUCUUUGAAAGAAAAAUCAACAUGAAUUUUGGUGCAAAAAAACGCCAUAGUAUACUAUGUCGAAAAAUGUCAUUUUUCAACAUGUUGUGAAAACAUGCCAUAUGAUGAAAUAAUGUAAAGCAGGCUGUGAAAAACACUCCAGAAAGGUUUCCUUUGAAAAAAAAAUCAUGAAUUUUGGCAGAAAAACCACCAUAGUAUACUAUGUCGAAAAAAAAUGCGAUUUUUCAACAUGUAAAAAACAUGCCAUAUGAUGAAAUAAUGUAAAGUGGGCCGUGAAAAACACUCCAGAAAGGUUUUCUUUAAAAAAAAAAAUCAUCAUGAAUUUUGGCACAAAAAAACGCCAUAGUAUACUAUGUCGGAAAAAAAUGCGAUUUUUCAACAUGUUGUAAAAACGUGCCAUAUGAUGAAGUAAUGUAAAGGAGGCCGUGAAAAACACUCCAGAAAGGUUUUCUUUGAAAAAAAAAAAAUCAUCACGAAUUUUGGCGCAAAAAAACGCCAUAGAACGCCAAAAAUGUCAUUUUUGAACACUAAAUCUUAUUGAAAAAUAUUUUACUUAAGUCCACCUGUUUCAGCCAUCUCUACCCCUCAUUAGGUACCACUCUAAGGUACAUUAUACAAAAAAAAGUCCAGUAGAUGUCACUGUGUUUUGAAAUAGCAUGCAGAGCAAGUUAGUCUGCUCACAGGAAGUUUGCACGAGCAAAAUCACUCCUCACAUGAGGCCUCUGUUUGCUGUGAUUUUCAAAGGUAAAGUAAUACUUUUCACAUAUUAUGGUGCCUAAGGAGUUGCUGAACACAAACGUGUCAUUUGAAAUGUAAAAAAAAAAGAUUUAAAAGGGUAAAAUAAUUUUUCUCAACCGUUUGGUAGAGGUCAAUAUUUUAAAAAUCGCUGGGUCUCUUCAUAAAGAAACCAUUGAUUGUUGUUAUUAGCGCCCCAAAGAGAUAAGAAAUAUAAAGAAAUAAUUUUUUCAUUGCCUUUUUCUUGGUGAGGAUGUUUAAGGGUUAACUUAACAUCUGUAAACAAAACAAAAACCUAUCAACAGAGUUUUCUGUUAGUUUGUGUUCUUGUAAGUUUAUCUCCAAGAUUUUAAAUACUUUCAUUUACUGCAAAUGAAUAUCUACUCCAAAUGUCUCAAUAAUAAUCAUUAUCAGCCUUAAAAACCCACAAAACACCCCUCUAUACUGGACCACACUUAGUACAGUCCGGUUCCCCCUUCUAUAAAUCUGCUUGGAAUCGUCCACUUCCUGUUUGUCAAAGUGGCCUUCUACCUGGACAGGUUUUGUUGGAGCUCAUGCAACAAACAUUUUGGGUAACUGCACUUUAAUAUGGAUGGAUGACACUGAAUUAGAGUCUGUUUUCAUGAGACUGAGUUAAGAUGUGUAGCUCUGUCAUUAAAUAGUAAAUUAUUUCUCAGAAUUCACAGAGAAAAGUCUGAAAUGUUUGCUAGGUUAGCGUCCCACAUGUUCUUUGGCUCAGCUAAAGCUAACUCUCUCCAGUUUCUGGAUCUCUUGAGUUGCUUGUUGUUAAAAUAUCUUGCUAGAGGUGCUGAAAGUCUGAGAUGUUUGUUCAAAAUAAGCUCAUUCUCAAGUCUUAUCUGAACUGUCUUCUUUUGUUUUAACUUUCCCUAAACUUAGGAGUUAAUGAAAGAGCAACACAUCCAGACUCAGUCUCAUUUAUGUAGAGAUUAAACUUCAGUGUCAUUCAUUGAUGUUAAAGUGCAGUUUUUCAAAUGUUUGUUGCACAUGCUCCCGACCAAACCAGUCCAGGUGGAAGACGAUGUGAAGAGAAAGCUCCAGAGGAUGAAUGUCACACAUUUACGUUGGAAAUAAAUGUCCUUCAAUUUGA